RNAcentral lists this ribosomal RNA (408 nucleotides) under uncultured bacterium. RNAcentral's name for it is "partial 16S ribosomal RNA". It matches the Rfam family "Bacterial small subunit ribosomal RNA", at positions 28 to 526 of the family's 1533-position model. The record is from RNAcentral.
GUCGAACGCUGGCGGCGUGCUUAACACAUGCAAGUCGAACGAAGUGGCGAACGGGUGAGUAACGCGUAAUCAACCCGCCCUUCAGAGGGUGACAACAGUUGGAAACGACUGCUACUACUUCAUACUGAAGGUGGGGAGUGCGUGUGAGUAGGUGGUUGGGGGGGUUACGGCCCACCAAGGCGAUGAUCAGUAGCCGGGCUGAGAGGAUGAACGGCCACGUUGGGAUGGAGACACGGCCCAGAAUCCUGCGGGAGGCAGCCGGGGGGAAUCUUCCGAAAUGGACGAAAGUCUGGCGGAGCAACGCCGCGGUAGUGUAGAGGGCCUUCGGGUUGUAAAGCUCUUUUAAUCGGGACGCGGUACCGGAAUAGAAAGCCACGGCUAACUACGUGCCAGCAGCCGCGGUAAUAC